GACGAACGCUGGCGGCGUGCUUAACACAUGCCAGUCGAACGGAAAGGCCCUGCUUUUGUGGGGUGCUCGAGUGGCGAACGGGUGAGUAACACGUGAGUAACCUGCCCUUGACUUUGGGAUAACUUCAGGAAACUGGGGCUAAUACCGGAUAGGAGCUCCUGCUGCAUGGUGGGGGUUGGAAAGUUUCGGCGGUUGGGGAUGGACUCGCGGCUUAUCAGCUUGUUGGUGGGGUAGUGGCUUACCAAGGCUUUGACGGGUAGCCGGCCUGAGAGGGUGACCGGCCACAUUGGGACUGAGAUACGGCCCAGACUCCUACGGGAGGCAGCAGUGGGGAAUAUUGCACAAUGGGCGGAAGCCUGAUGCAGCAACGCCGCGUGCGGGAUGACGGCCUUCGGGUUGUAAACCGCUUUCGCCUGUGACGAAGCGUGAGUGACGGUGAUGGGUAAAGAAGCACCGGCUAACUACGUG
Molecule: ribosomal RNA, 468 nt
Filed under: uncultured bacterium
Lineage: Bacteria
Description: partial 16S ribosomal RNA
Rfam family: Bacterial small subunit ribosomal RNA
Source: RNAcentral